Molecule: ribosomal RNA, 253 nt
Filed under: uncultured bacterium
Lineage: Bacteria
Description: partial 16S ribosomal RNA
Rfam family: Bacterial small subunit ribosomal RNA
Source: RNAcentral
UACGAAGGGUCCAAGCGUUGUUCGGAAUCAUUGGGCGUAAAGCGCGCGCAGGCGGAUUGAUAAGUCAGGUGUGAAAUCUCGAGGCUCAACCUCGAAACUGCGCCUGAAACUAUUAGUCUAGAAUGUCGGAGGGGGCAGGGGAAUUUCACGUGUAGGGGUAAAAUCCGUAGAGAUGUGAAGGAACACCGGAGGCGAAGGCGCCUGCCUGGACGACUAUUGACGCUGAGGCGCAAAAGCGUGGGGAGCAAACAGG